CCUACGGGUGGCAGCAGUGGGGAAUAUUGGGCAAUGGGCGCAAGCCUGACCCAGCAACGCCGCGUGAAGGAAUAAGGCUUUCGGGUUGUAAACUUCUUUUCUGAGGGACGAAGAAAGUGACGGUACCUCAGGACUAAGCCACGGCUAACUACGUGCCAGCAGCCGCUGUAAUACGUAGGUGGCAAGCGUUAUCCGGAUUUAUUGGGGGUAAAGGGCGUGUAGGCGGGAAAGCAAGUCAGCUGUGAAAACUCAUGGCUCAACCCUGAGACUGCAUUUUAAACUGUUUUUCUUGAGUGCUGGAGAGGCAAUCGGAAUUCCGUGUGUAGCGGUGAAAUGCGUAGAUAUACGGAGGAACACCAGUGGCGAAGGCGGAUUGCUGGACAGUAACUGACGCUGAGGCGCGAAAGCGUGGGGAGCAAACAGGAUUAGAUACCCCAGUAGUC
Molecule: ribosomal RNA, 443 nt
Filed under: uncultured bacterium
Lineage: Bacteria
Description: partial 16S ribosomal RNA
Rfam family: Bacterial small subunit ribosomal RNA
Source: RNAcentral